AAAACAACAAGUAAACACCCUCAUAUAAUCUUGGGAAUAUGGCCCAUAAGUAUCUACCCGGUUACCGUAAAUGAUCGGACUAUGAGGGAAAGUAGCUGUCUG
Molecule: non-coding RNA, 102 nt
Filed under: Bacillus sp. (in: firmicutes)
Lineage: Bacteria; Bacillati; Bacillota; Bacilli; Caryophanales; Bacillaceae
Also listed under: 1 other name
Description: Bacillus sp. Guanine sequence
Rfam family: Purine riboswitch aptamer
About the family: Riboswitches are metabolite binding domains within certain messenger RNAs that serve as precision sensors for their corresponding targets.
Source: RNAcentral